UCCUACGGGGGGCUGCAGUGGGGAAUAUUGCACAAUGGGGGAAACCCUGAUGCAGCCAUGCCGCGUGUGUGAAGAAGGCCUUCGGGUUGUAAAGCACUUUCAGUGGGGAGGAAGGGAUGAUGUCUAAUACGCAUUGUCAUUGACGUUACCCACAGAAGAAGCACCGGCUAACUCCGUGCCAGCAGCCGCGGUAAUACGGAGGGUGCAAGCGUUAAUCGGAAUAACUGGGCGUAAAGCGCACGCAGGCGGUUAGAUAAGUCAGAUGUGAAAUCCCCGGGCUCAACCUGGGAACUGCAUUUGAAACUGUCUGACUAGAGUCUUGUAGAGGGGGGUAGAAUUCCAGGUGUAGCGGUGAAAUGCGUAGAGAUCUGGAGGAAUACCGGUGGCGAAGGCGGCCCCCUGGACAAAGACUGACGCUCAGGUGCGAAAGCGUGGGGAGCAAACAGGAUUAGAUACCCCAGUAGUC
Molecule: ribosomal RNA, 466 nt
Filed under: uncultured Tolumonas sp.
Lineage: Bacteria; Pseudomonadati; Pseudomonadota; Gammaproteobacteria; Aeromonadales; Aeromonadaceae
Description: bacterial SSU rRNA
Rfam family: Bacterial small subunit ribosomal RNA
Source: RNAcentral